GACGAACGCUGGCGGCGUGCUUAACACAUGCAAGUCGAACGGAAAGGCCCUGCUUUUGUGGGGUGCUCGAGUGGCGAACGGGUGAGUAACACGUGAGUAACCUGCCCUUGACUUUGGGAUAACUUCAGGAAACUGGGGCUAAUACCGGAUAGGAGCUCCUGCUGCAUGGUGGGGGUUGGAACGUUUCGGCGGUUGGGGAUGGACUCGCGGCUUAUCAGCUUGUUGGUGGGGUAGUGGCUUACCAAGGCUUUGACGGGUAGCCGGCCUGAGAGGGUGACCGGCAAAAGUGGGACUGAGAUACGGCCCAGACUCGUACGGGAGGCAGCAGUGGGGAAUAGUGCAUGAUGGGCGGAAGCCGGAUGCAGCAACGCCGCGUGCUGGAUGACGGCCUUCGGGUUGUAAACCGCUUUCGCCUGUGACGAAGCGUGAGUGACGGUAAUGGGUAAAGAAGCACCGGCUAACUACGUG
RNAcentral lists this ribosomal RNA (468 nucleotides) under uncultured bacterium. Its description in RNAcentral is "partial 16S ribosomal RNA". It matches the Rfam family "Bacterial small subunit ribosomal RNA", at positions 28 to 507 of the family's 1533-position model. The record is from RNAcentral.